Long non-coding RNA from Tupaia belangeri chinensis (Chinese tree shrew), 1271 nucleotides. RefSeq lists it as uncharacterized. The transcript has 3 exons. The record is from RefSeq and is a predicted model, not a curated record. NCBI's taxonomy places the organism in Eukaryota, Metazoa, Chordata, Mammalia, Scandentia, Tupaiidae.
UUGCACUAAUCACAAUUUUUUUUUGUCUUAACCCAAAAUUGAGAAGUUUUUUAGACUUAUAGAUGUGUGUGUGUAUAGAGCCAAUAUUUCUGAAUGUCAUGUUCUUACUAGUUUGUUCACCUUUUUGUGAAUGUGAUUAACAAGAGGUGAGAUAUUUGCAAGAAUCUGUACAUAUGAAUUAUUCUUCAAAAACACCAAGUCUUUCUUUUCUUGCAGGAAUCCAGAAGCUUUGAAGUCACAAGAAGAAAAGGAAAUAAUGAAAUCAUUGUUGCUUUCCCCGGGAGAUUUCUGGAAGUAGAGCUGUCCGGUGCUGACCCGUCUGUUCAAAUUUCAGUUUGGAGAGUCUUGGGAGAGAGAGCAGAUGAAGCCGUCUCAGAAAUGUAAAUGCUGUUUGACAUCUAUUAGCGCAAUGCUUACCCAUUGCCGACAGCACAAUCCAUUAGGAUGCGGGUGUCAUGGACCAGAGACACUUGGAAUAUAGUGAGGGACAUGCCAGCAGCCGCCAAGCUCCAUUCCAAUGAGCCGAAAGAGCACUGGCCUAGCAUUCCGGCCAGGCAUUGUGCAGCUCCCACGUGCACUCCCCGGGCUUCUAAAAGGCCAGCACCACAGGCCUUCUUCAUGACUGCUCCUCCGCCAGGCCGCCUGCCUGGGUGCUGGGCACGGUCACCCUGGGAGGUCCGGCUCCCUUCUCAUCUCCGUCAUCCAUGGAAUUGUCGAAUGAUCCAGCCAUGGUUUGAAGGUCCCACGGGGUCACUUGUUAUUUUUACAGGUAAGUCUGCAAGGCCGCUUCUAAGUGGACUGUCCUCGGGAAGCUUGAGAAGAACAAAGCAACUCUACGGCAGUGACUGAGGAAAGCGGUGGACUGGAGGCUGGGGGAGACCUGGAAGAGUAAGAUCUUCACAGCAGACACCAGAAACCACUGCGGUGUCUUGGAGCGGGGGUGAGGAUGCCCGUCCAGGUGGCUGGUCUUGAGCAAACCUGGGAGUCCUCUGUCCUGAUACUGACAGUGAGCUACACGUCCCACCAGACUAAUUCUCUCCCCACACCUCUUUGAGGUCAGAGCCCAGAGGUACAUUUUGUUGGCUGGUGUACCUGACGUCACAGACGAAAUGGUCACUGCGGUUGGAGCAGGGGAGGACAAGAACAGGAGACUUUACCUACGGACGGACUCGUUCUGUUCCCUAUGGAGGCUAGAAAUUCUGGGGCUCUGUUCCCAUGUUCAAGGGGCUAGAAAAGAUGUGAACUGGAGGUCCAUGGGCCGGAUGUAACGU